GCCUUGGUGGCGGAACUGGAAUACGUGCUUGGCUUAGGACCAAGUUCCCGCAAGGGAUUGAGAGUUCGAAUCUCUCCCAAGGCA
This 84-nucleotide transfer RNA is filed under the name Patescibacteria group bacterium. RNAcentral describes it as "tRNA-Leu". It matches the Rfam family "tRNA". From Rfam's summary of the family: Transfer RNA (tRNA) molecules are approximately 80 nucleotides in length. The record is from RNAcentral.